Molecule: ribosomal RNA, 484 nt
Filed under: uncultured bacterium
Lineage: Bacteria
Description: partial 16S ribosomal RNA
Rfam family: Bacterial small subunit ribosomal RNA
Source: RNAcentral
AUUGAACGCUGGCGGCAUGCCUAACACAUGCAAGUCGAGCGGAAACAGGCAGCUUGCUCCUGGCUUGAGGGGCAGGGGGGAGUAUAGUACCUAAGAAUCUCCCUUCUAGGGGGGUAUCAAGUCCGAAGACUAGCGCAUAUACCACAUACGCCAUGAAGGAGAACGGGGGACAGCAUGGGACCUCACGAUAGCAGCUGACCCUAUGUCGGAUUAGCUAGUUGGUGGGGUAAAGGCCUACCAAGGCGACGAUCCGUAGCUGGUCUGAGAGGAUGAUCAGUCACACUGGAACUGAGACACGGUCCAGACUCCUACGGGAGGCAGCAGUGGGGAAUAUUGGACAAUGGGCGAAAGCCUGAUCCAGCAAUGCCGCGUGUAGGAAGAAGGUCUUCGGAUUGUAAAGUGCUUUAGUUUGGGAGGAAACGGAGUUGGUUAAUACCUGGCUGUAAUGACGGUACCGAAAGAAUAAGCACCGGCUAACUUCGUG